RNA transcript from Ochotona curzoniae (black-lipped pika), 611 nucleotides. It is a transcript of the gene named ADP-ribosylation factor 1-like, with no coding region annotated. The transcript has 2 exons. Lineage: Eukaryota; Metazoa; Chordata; Mammalia; Lagomorpha; Ochotonidae. The record is from RefSeq and is a predicted model, not a curated record.
UCCACUUGUCCACAAGCAUGGGGAACAUCUUUGCAAACCUCUUUAAGGGCCUUUUUGGCAAAAAGGAAAUGUGCAUCCUCAUGGUGGGUCUGGAUGCUGCAGGGAAGACGAUUUUGUGCAAGCUGAAGCUCAGUGAGAUCAUGACCACCAUUUCCAUCAUAGGAAAUGUGGAGACUGUUGAAUAUAAGAACAUCAGCUUCACAGUGUGGGAUGUAGGUGGCCAGGACAAGAUUCGGCCACUGUGGCGCCACUACUUCCAAAACACCCAAGGUGUUUUGUGGUGGCCAGCAAUGACAGACAGCAUGUGAAUGAGGCAGGGAAGGAGCUCAUGAGGAUACUGGCUGAGGAUGAGCUGAGGGAUGCAGUCCUCCUAAUGUCUGCCAAUAAGCGGGACCUCCCGAAUGCCAUGAAUGCAGCUGAAAUCACAGACAAGCUGGGGCUGCACUCGCUACGCCACAGGAACUGGUACAUUCAGGCCACCUGUGCCACCAGCGGGGAUGGGCUCUAUGAAGGACUGGACUGGCUGUCCAAUCAGCUCUGGAACCAGAAGUGAAUAAGAACCCCCUCCCACUUCCUCCUCUCCACCCUCUGCUUUCCUCUCAUGUGGCAAA